Oreochromis niloticus (Nile tilapia) is the source of this 1512-nucleotide long non-coding RNA. RefSeq lists it as uncharacterized. The transcript is spliced from 3 exons. The record is from RefSeq and is a predicted model, not a curated record. NCBI's taxonomy places the organism in Eukaryota, Metazoa, Chordata, Actinopteri, Cichliformes, Cichlidae.
AUGUAAGUGAUUAGCAUAUUAAUAAAUAAAAGUCAUAAUAAAAGAUUUUAAAUUAGACUUGAAUUGAAUAUGUGAAUCAUUUGUAUGUGUUUCAGUGAAAUAAACUGAACCCAUGUGGUGUACACAAGUUCAUUUAAAAUCCUUAACCACAGCCCCAGAGUGAAAUAAAGUGUAUUUGCUGGAGCCACCAUUAGUCAGACUUUUUAAUUAAUAGACAUCCUGUUCCUUGGCUCUCCUUUGAAAAGACGAAAGGCUGGAGGUAGCAAGGAGGGAAAACAGGCUAAAGACAGUGUAAUUAGUUAUUGAGUGAGUUGGGUGCCUGCUGCAGUGGGCAGUGUCGGUGCUACAUGAGAUUUUAUUGGGUGGGCGACACAAGUCUAUUUACUUUCUGUCACCUCUCGAGACACCCAUGGCAGUUUUAGAUAGUGUCAGGCAGUCUGGCUUUGCUGUCCAUCAGCAACAUUCUCAAGUCCAAAUGUGGAAGAUGGGGCUUAACCUUUAGAUCAAUGAAAACACAGAAUAUACCUUAAUGAUAAUAAAUCAAUAGUUUUCUUCUUGUGUAAAAAGGCUUUUUUUGCUGAAACGGAAAUAACACACAAAAAAGUUGUCACCCCUGUCAAAUAAAAGCUCACAAGACUCAAAAGUCUUAUAAAUAUGAUCCAGUAAAGAGCAGCAUAUGUGAGCUAAGUGAAUCUAAAUACCUGCAAUAUUGGACAGAGUGAAGCAGCAGUGUGGUUAUGAGAACAUUUUGGCAGUCACGUCUGUUAUGCAGAGCAGGAAACGGGAGCUCAGCGUUGUUGAGCAGUCAGAACAGGUGGGAGGCUUGCAUGCAUUUGUGCAUGUGCACAUGUUUAUGCACCCAGCUCGUGUGUUUGUGCAUGUUGGUGUAUUUGUUUACGGGUCCCAGAGGUGCACAAGUGCAAAGGAGAGAGAUAUGCUGUGUUGGCAGAGUGCACAAGACUAAUGCCUGAAACUUGGACACUUGUACAGUCUCUGUUUUCCCUCUGGCUCAGUGCUGGACAGCGAUCACAGGGAAGCAAAGCAGAGGAUCCAGGAUGGCUGAAAAUGUCAGGAUAGUGUCGUGGAUGAGAGAAGGAGGACCCAAACGCUGGACUCACAGGUGUAACCAUGAUCAUCUUUAUACAUAUUGCCGUUUGGUGCUUAUUAUGGAGUUGUGCUCACUUCAGUAAGGGUUAAAAGCUACAGUCAGCGGGAUGUCUGGCUGAUCUAUUGAGGGAAGUGACGCAGAGCGUAGAAGGCCGCACAUGCUUGCAAGACACUUACAUCAUGUUAUUUUAUGAUCCUUUAUUUAGAUAUAUCUUUUGUUAACCUUUAAGUAGUGUGUAUUGGCAAUAAUUACUCAUUAGUUCAUUUAUGUAUCAUCAUUAAUUGUUACUUCAUUAGAGAAUUUCUUUAGGCUGUCGGCCUUAUGUUACAACUUGUAUUACAGGUAUUGUCAUGAUUCCAUAUUAACAUUUUCUAUUACAGGUGCAGUGAUAAUUCUUUUGUAUA